RNAcentral lists this ribosomal RNA (1019 nucleotides) under uncultured bacterium. Its description in RNAcentral is "bacterial SSU rRNA". It matches the Rfam family "Bacterial small subunit ribosomal RNA", at positions 355 to 1375 of the family's 1533-position model. The record is from RNAcentral.
UGAGGAAUAUUGGUCAAUGGGCGUAAGCCUGAACCAGCCAAGUAGCGUGAGGGAAGACUGCCCUAUGGGUUGUAAACCUCUUUUGUGCGGGGAUAAAGUGUGGGACGUGUCCCAUAUUGCAGGUACCGCACGAAUAAGGACCGGCUAAUUCCGUGCCAGCAGCCGCGGUAAUACGGAAGGUCCGGGCGUUAUCCGGAUUUAUUGGGUUUAAAGGGAGCGCAGGCCGUCCUUUAAGCGUGCUGUGAAAUGCCGCGGCUCAACCGUGGCACUGCAGCGCGAACUGGAGGACUUGAGUACGCACGAGGUAGGCGGAAUUCGUGGUGUAGCGGUGAAAUGCUUAGAUAUCACGAAGAACUCCGAUUGCGAAGGCAGCUUACCGGAGCGCAACUGACGCUGAGGCUCGAAAGCGCGGGUAUCGAACAGGAUUAGAUACCCUGGUAGUCCGCGCGGUAAACGAUGGAUGCCCGCCGUUGGGAUUUAGAUUUCAGCGGCCAAGCGAAAGCGUUAAGCAUCCCACCUGGGGAGUACGCCGGCAACGGUGAAACUCAAAGGAAUUGACGGGGGCCCGCACAAGCGGAGGAACAUGUGGUUUAAUUCGAUGAUACGCGAGGAACCUUACCCGGGCUUGAAUUGCAGGAGAACGAUCCAGAGAUGGUGAGGCCCUUCGGGGCUCCUGUGAAGGUGCUGCAUGGUUGUCGUCAGCUCGUGCCGUGAGGUGUCGGCUCAAGUGCCAUAACGAGCGCAACCCCUGUCCAUAGUUGCCAUCAGGUCGUGCUGGGCACUCUGUGGAGACUGCCGCCGUAAGGUGUGAGGAAGGUGGGGAUGACGUCAAAUCAGCACGGCCCUUACGUCCGGGGCUACACACGUGUUACAAUGGGGCAUACAGCGAGUUGGAUGUGCGCAAGUACGUCCGGAUCAAUAAAGUGCCUCUCAGUUCGGACUGGGGUCUGCAACCCGACCCCACGAAGCUGGAUUCGCUAGUAAUCGCGCAUCAGCCAUGGCGCGGUGACUACGUUCCC